Molecule: ribosomal RNA, 468 nt
Filed under: uncultured bacterium
Lineage: Bacteria
Description: partial 16S ribosomal RNA
Rfam family: Bacterial small subunit ribosomal RNA
Source: RNAcentral
GACGAACGCUGGCGGCGUGCUUAACACAUGCAAGUCGAACGGAAAGGCCCUGCUUUUGUGGGGUGCUCGAGUGGCGAACGGGUGAGUAACACGUGAGUAACCUGCCCUUGACUUUGGGAUAACUUCAGGAAACUGGGGCUAAUACCGGAUAGGAGCUCCUGCUGCAUGGUGGGGGUUGGAAAGUUUCGGCGGUUGGGGGUGGACUCGCGGCUUAUCAGCUUGUUGGUGGGGUAGUGGCUUACCAAGGCUUUGACGGGUAGCCGGCCUGGGAGGGUGACCGGCCACAUUGGGACUGAGAUACGGCCCAGACUCCUACGGGAGGCAGCAGUGGGGAAUAUUGCACAAUGGGCGGAAGCCUGAUGCAGCAGCGCCGCGUGCGGGAUGACGGCCUUCGGGUUGUAAACCGCUUUCGCCUGUGACGAAGCGUGAGUGACGGUAAUGGGUAAAGAAGCACCGGCUAACUACGUG